RNAcentral lists this ribosomal RNA (25 nucleotides) under Vitex agnus-castus (lilac chaste tree). RNAcentral describes it as "partial 28S ribosomal RNA". The record is from RNAcentral. Lineage: Eukaryota; Viridiplantae; Streptophyta; Magnoliopsida; Lamiales; Lamiaceae. RNAcentral also lists the same sequence under 3 other names.
AGGUCAGGCGGGAUUACCCGCUGAG